This 254-nucleotide ribosomal RNA is filed under the name uncultured bacterium. RNAcentral describes it as "partial 16S ribosomal RNA". It matches the Rfam family "Bacterial small subunit ribosomal RNA", at positions 524 to 776 of the family's 1533-position model. The record is from RNAcentral.
UACGUAGGGUGCAAGCGUUGUCCGGAAUUAUUGGGCGUAAAGAGCUCGUAGGCGGCUUGUCGCGUCGAUCGUGAAAACUUGGGGCUUAACCCUGAGCUUGCGGUCGAUACGGGCAUGACUGGAGUUCGGCAGGGGAGACUGGAAUUCCUGGUGUAGCGGUGAAAUGCGCAGAUAUCAGGAGGAACACCGGUGGCGAAGGCGGGUCUCUGGGCCGAUACUGACGCUGAGGAGCGAAAGCGUGGGGAGCGAACAGG